AUUGAACGCUGGUGGCAUGCCUUACACAUGCAAGUCGAACGGUAACGGGUCCUUCGGGAUGCCGACGAGUGGCGAACGGGUGAGUGAUAUAUCGGAACGUGCCCAGUAGUGGGGGAUAACUGCCCGAAAGAGCAGCUAAUACCGCAUACGACCUGAGGGUGAAAGGGGGGGAUCGCAAGACCUCUCGCUAUUGGAGCGGCCGAUAUCAGAUUAGCUAGUUGGUGGGGUAAAGGCCUACCAAGGCAACGAUCUGUAGUUGGUCUGAGAGGACGACCAGCCACACUGGGACUGAGACACGGCCCAGACUCCUACGGGAGGCAGCAGUGGGGAAUUUUGGACAAUGGGCGCAAGCCUGAUCCAGCAAUGCCGCGUGCAGGAAGAAGGCCUUCGGGUUGUAAACUGCUUUUGUCAGGGAAGAAAUCUUCUGGGCUAAUACCCCGGGAGGAUGACGGUACCUGAAGAAUAAGCACCGGCUAACUACGUGCCAGCAGCCGCGGUAAUACGUAGGGUGCGAGCGUUAAUCGGAAUUACUGGGCGUAAAGCGUGCGCAGGCGGCUUUGCAAGACAGAUGUGAAAUCCCCGGGCUCAACCUGGGAACUGCAUUUGUGACUGCAAGGCUAGAGUACGGCAGAGGGGGAUGGAAUUCCGCGUGUAGCAGUGAAAUGCGUAGAUAUGCGGAGGAACACCAAUGGCGAAGGCAAUCCCCUGGGCCUGUACUGACGCUCAUGCACGAAAGCGUGGGGAGCAAACAGGAUUAGAUACCCUGGUAGUCCACGCCCUAAACGAUGUCAACUGGUUGUUGGACGGCUUGCUGUUCAGUAACGAAGCUAACGCGUGAAGUUGACCGCCUGGGGAGUACGGCCGCAAGGUUGAAACCCAAAGGAAUUGACGGGGACCCGCACAAGCGGUGGAUGAUGUGGUUUAAUUCGAUGCAACGCGAAAAACCUUACCUACCCUUGACAUGUCAAGAAUUCUGCAGAGAUGUGGAAGUGCUCGAAAGAGAACUUGAACACAGGUGCUGCAUGGCCGUCGUCAGCUCGUGUCGUGAGAUGUUGGGUUAAGUCCCGCAACGAGCGCAACCCUUGUCAUUAGUUGCUACGCAAGAGCACUCUAAUGAGACUGCCGGUGACAAACCGGAGGAAGGUGGGGAUGACGUCAGGUCCUCAUGGCCCUUAUGGGUAGGGCUACACACGUCAUACAAUGGCCGGUACAGAGGGCUGCCAACCCGCGAGGGGGAGCCAAUCCCAGAAAACCGGUCGUAGUCCGGAUCGUAGUCUGCAACUCGACUGCGUGAAGUCGGAAUCGCUAGUAAUCGCGGAUCAGCUUGCCGCGGUGAAUACGUUCCCGGGUCU
This 1352-nucleotide ribosomal RNA is filed under the name uncultured bacterium. RNAcentral's name for it is "bacterial SSU rRNA". It matches the Rfam family "Bacterial small subunit ribosomal RNA", at positions 28 to 1381 of the family's 1533-position model. The record is from RNAcentral.